CACAAGAAGCGCACUCGGUUGCAUCAGGCUCUGGUAAUUUCUUUCCGUGCCGGUAUCCGGGGUCAGAUCUCAGAUCGCUCCUCGGUCGGAACGAAGCCUCGAGACGAACCAACCGACGCACGUACCCUGUGGCCACUGACAACAUGAGCCAGCGAAGGGGCCGGACCCAUCUGCAGCCGCUGGUUUCGGCUGGAGCCGUGUUCUGCUCACGUACAGGCAGUUUUUUAAUGCCUCGUUUCUCUUUCCCCCCUUCCCUUAUCUUCUGCCUCUCGCUCCAUCCAGGUCCUAUGCGGAUCUCAUGAACGAACGAACCCUAGACUAUUUCCGCGUGAUCUUCUCAAGCAGAUCUCUCUCGGCCCGGGAGGGGGCGCGGCAAUUGCUCGAGGAUCAGUCGUUCCCUUUUUGGUGCAUAAAUAAAGGUAAAUAAAGGAUGGGGUGUAGCUUCGCUUCCGUUCGUUGGCAUGUUGAGCUUUUGUGCAGCGGUAGAGCUCCUCAUUGGCCCGUCGGUCACCCAAUAUUUGUGAUGGAUCUAUAAAGAUGAAAAAUUUUGCCGAGUAGCCCCGCGUCAAUUUGUACAUGGAGAAGUGCCGACAAAAAGGUACACAUGCUAUGAUCACACUGUACAAUUUCCCACCUGGUUAUUUGGUAGUUCAAUUACUUGUAUUCCUUAAGUCAUAGAAGUUACUCCAGCUCUGUCGAGAUCUGCUCUCAUCUAGCCAUGCAUUUGAAAGUGAUCAACUCUAAAUAUCAUGCUAUAUGGCGAACACAUAGUUGACAUGCUCCGUGGAGCAAUCUUUUUUGUUUGAUUUCCAUUUCAUACCCGGUCUUCCUUUUUACUAUGGAAAAUCUACAUUCUGACCAUUCAAUUUGUGCCACUCUUAAAUGGACUGCCUAGUUGCGGCCAUGACCACCUCCAUGACCACUGCCACCCUCACCACCUACGUAGAAUGCGGGAAUGGACCUUGAUGGCUUGGAAAUGCACCUUGGCGGUGGUGGCCCAGGCCGGCCUUUCGUCUGCAACUGCAGGCACGGGACCCAAAUCUAGCUCUAUUUGUGCGUCCAUUUGCGGAACCUCCUCCAGGAAAGGUCCAUCUGCUCCCAAAGGGGGGAUAGAGGGUUCAUGUGCUGCCUUCCUCUUCCUCAUCCCGAAAACUAAAGACGAGGGGCAACUCUCCGGAUGUGCCAUCGAAGACGAUGUUCGGGGGUUGGAAGCAGACGAGAUGAGAAUGGGCGGUGCCACAAAGAGAAUCGGAGCAAGAUAGGGGAGGGCGGUGUCCUUAUACACCGCUAUGAGUGCCAUUAAGGAGGCACUUGGGUAGGCUGGAAACGACGAGCAGUCAAAGGGCAUGUUCCCCAGUGAGAAAUGUUGACGUGGGCUGCUCGUGCGCUUCUCGACUGCUCAGACUAUCACGGUUGCUCGCACAACUCCUCUCAACCAGCUCAUACGCAAGCCAUGAGAUGAUGUCGCGCGUGGCGGCCAUGCAACGGGCCGGCCAUGGCAACCCGAUGGAGUGGCAUUACUGGUUGGAUGCCCGUCGCCGGUGGUGCUUGGAAGGUUGGGCUACUUCAAAUCCCAUGUGGGACGCCGGGAGGAAGAACUUGAAACUUACCUACCGUGCUAGUUGUUUUGGUUGGAGCAAGUGUCGUAUUGGCCCUCCCAGCCUCAAUAUUUGAAGGCAACACGGUCGGUUAUCGAGUGCCCUCCAUAAAUUAUGGCGAUCGUGAGCCAUAUGUCGACUUGGUCGUUCGUCGUUAGAUUGUUUGUCGGUGGUUCUCCUGUGCAGUCUCUUGCAUCGGCCGCCAUAGCCAAAUUCAAUUUUCAGGCAACUUACUUCCAGCUAAACUACAGUGGUAAUUAUGAUGCAAAAUGGUUGGAAGUUAAGAGUGGCAUAAACAAAAAUUCCCCUUUUAUUAUUGGGUCUUAUAUGGCAUGACGACGACGUUCUCUCUCUGUUUUUGAACUACCUGACAACGUUUCUCAGUUUGAUGCGGAUCAAAUCUAUGAUCUAGUGUUAAUUUUGACCGGCGUCGUCUUCUUUAACUCUGUGACGGUUACCAUAUCCGUCGGGGGAAGAUCUCCAUCAAACAAUUGUCCCAUGUCAGGAAGGGUGACAUAGCUGCUCAACUAGCAAGUACGCCAACUGUGAUGUCGCUGCUAGCUAAGCCGAAUUAGGCCUUGUACAAUGAGAGAUGCUUAGUAAAAUAAACCAACUUUUUUUAAACACAGAUGCUUAUUCUACAGAACAAAUGCUUAAUUAAGCGUCUACCCUCUACAAAUAAGCACUGAUGCUUAAAGAAAAACUGAUUUAUUUCUCUAAGCACCUACUCCAAGCACCUUGCAUUGUACAGGACCUUAGGACCUAGCGCCUCCAAGCCAAUCACUUGCCGUGACAGGUCCUGGCCGGGCUACCACUGGAGGGUAACCGAACACGGUCCUGUAUGCAUCACGAGGCUCUAGGCCAGGAGCUGUCACGCCCAGCAAACGCAAACCAAAUAGCACUAGCCCACUGCCCAAUCACACUGCAACUGAUUAUACCCUAGCUCAAAAAAGAGGUCAAUGCCAAAUGACAUCCAAACAACUUUUGACAGCAUAUUUCAACAGCAAUAGAUGACGGCAUAAUUCGAUUACUAUUGCAAAAAUUUCCAUCCCAGCGUCAUCAAAGUCACCACAUUUGUCCACUGAUUCAACAGCAAUAGACGACGGCGUAAGUCUCAGAUUCAGUGAUAAUCAGAUGAUAGCAGGGAUUCGAGUAAACCCACAAGUUUUUUAACCCAAAAUUUAUCUCAACUUGUAACCACCCAUUUGUCCGCUACUAUGUCCAUUUGCAUAUGCCCUUCUCCGGUAGCCUGCAGAGAAUUUAUAAGAACAAGUUGUUCAGUAACUUUGGACAAUGAACAGAGGAGAAAAACAUAGCAAAGAAUUUACAGCGUCGAGUUGUUCAGUAACUUUGUAUUGUACAUUGCACAAAUCAGAAACAUAUGCAAAUGUUUAGGGACUGAGAUCAAGUUCAUCUGCAACAUAUGUAAACCAGAAACGUAUGCGGCAAGUACAGUACAUUCUGUGUCGCACAUUGAGAAGCGUUCUCUCUUCUUUUUUUCUCCAACUCAGCAAAUAUCAUACAUAGAUCUUGAUGCCAUCACAAGAAUGCAAAAUAUAGCCCAUAAAUGAAACGUCACAAACAAUCCUUACCAAAGUUUGAGAAAAAUUGUGAAAACAUUUAGUUUAGAGGAAUUUUGUAGGAAAAAUAAUUUUGGAGCUCUUUGGCUUGUACUAAUGAAUUCAUAUUCCUAUGUAGGAUAGGAACCAAUCCAUCACAUUUCAAAGAAAAAAAAUAGCCUAGAUGUAAUGGAAAAGUUCCUAUCCUAUGGAUCAAGUGACAUCUCUUUCCCUAUAGGAAUUGAGAUACAUGUCAUCUCACUUCCUAUGGUUAAUUCCUAUAAUAUUCCUAUCCUAUGAACCAAAGGAGGCCUUAUUCAUAUAGAAAAAGAUUCACAUCAAUUUAAAACUUGGUACAAAUACAGAUUAGGUUGAUUCAUCACUGGCUUGUCUUUUCACCAAAUAUCACAUGUAGCUGCUUUUCACCAAAUAUCACAAGUAUGUUCAGAAAUAGAAGAAGUAUCAAAUUGUAUGAUGCAACAAGAUACAGCAAACAAAAGGGAGGAACCCUUCAACUGAUUGCAAUGAUGAAGGCUAAUGGUUCAGAUUUCAGAGAGACUUCAGAGAGACCAAUGGAUGGAUUCACAGGUCUGGUGUAUUUACAGGCAGACCGACCAACAGAGAAUUCACGGUCUAAAGACUUGAUCUCAUUUGCUGGUGCAGCCUUCACAGUUGUUAAAGAAUUUACUGUCGUAUUGAUUUUGAUGGGUCUCACCGGUUGGAUAUGGACCAAAGAAUUUAAUGAGUCGACUGUCAGAAAAAUAAACAUGAGCGAGACUAACUGGAAAUAUUUAAUAACCCCACCACAGAUAUUUGAAGAACAGCUAUUUAAUAACCCCACCACAGAUAUUUGAGGAAGCGCUCACAGGUCGUCUAAGACAUGCGUGACUAUAUGACACCAUAUAUACUUAGUAGUUAGUACUAGGACUGAGCCUAUUAGAUAUGCGUGAUUAUAUGACACCAUAUCCAUGAACAUGACCAAUCACAGUAAUAGUUUGAGCAUGACAGGGAGUUGUGAUCGACCGGAGUUGAAUGGCAAGGUUAGCGAAGCAAAUAGUGACUAGAAGCUUGAUGCCACCCACUUUCAGAAGAUGCAUUUACUGGUCUAGGAAAAGGAACAGAGAAGAUAUUGCAGACCAAAGGAGGCUCCAGGCCAGGAGCGUCACGCCCAGGCCCAGCACAAGCAAACGAAAUUACACUGGCCCGCUACCCAAUUACGCUGCAUCUGAUUGCACCGUAACUCAAAAGCAGGAUUUGACUACAAGCCGUCUCAAACAAGAAGAUUCGACAGUACUAAUAGAUUCACAAACCAUCUUUAUCACCACCAUCAGCCACCACAGGCCACCUGGUGAACAGAAAAUAUCCUACUUCGUAUCACUAUUGUACAGUCAAGAUCUCAAAACUGUACGCUUGCUGUCACGACAAAGAAGAAUGCAAGCUCUGAUCUCAUGUCAAAUAUAGCCCAUAACUGAAACUUUAGAUAAAUCCAUACCCAAGUUUGAGAAAAUUGUGAAAACAUGUAUUCAUACUCUCUCCGUUCCUAAAUACAAGAAUGCAUUAUGUAAACAGUAGAGCUUGUACUCAAGAAAAGGUAACACAUUAAGUUGUACAUGGAGGGCAGGUUUUGCACUGCAUCAGAACAUCUUAAAGCAAGACAUGUCCCAUCCUCCAUGAUAUCAAUUAUGCAGGACCGCUCUCAGCAACAGUAGGCAGAACAACACCAUGCUGCCCACACAAAAUCCUGCAGUUUCAAGUGAAAGCAAGCAGAGAUGCACAGCAAUACACCAUCUCUUGUCAAGGCUUUAUGCACUAUACGACCAAAUCACGAAAAUCUAAAAUCUAAUGUACCGGUCGAUUGAAUUGCAUACUUGACUACACAUUUCACAAAAUCCAUUUUGGGUUAAAAAAAGGUGUGAGAUUGACAUAUAGGAAGGUUGGUAAGCUGUUGCCUAUUGCAGUGGGCAGGCCGACCAGAAUUCAUUCCUUAUUGGUUUGACUACAGCCGAAUUUGGCAAAAGUCCUAAAACGUUGCUGUCUCGAAUCUAAACCACACGCACGUGCAAAUCACCUCCAACAUCCAUACCCACUCAAUCAAUUGAUCACGUCUAGACCCCAAGCCGCACCAGCCCGGAACACACGAUCGGGAAACAAAUCGAACCUGAUAUUCAGCGGGGGGCCGGCCCGAACUUCUUUGUGUAGAAGCGGCGGUGCGCCGCCUGCUGGACCUUCCGCGCCCCCUUGUUGUCCGCGCGGCUCGCCUUGGUCCUGUAGAUCCGUGUCAGCAGAAGCUAUCGCAACCGAACCAGAAGGACAGAAAUCGAAGGACGACUCACCACCAAGCUCCAUGUGGCCCGCGAGUAGAGGCGAAGAGACGGCGGGCCAGGCGGCGGAGGUGCUCGCGGUACACGUAGGCAGUGAUGAUGCCGCCGCCCAUGAGAAGAGGCCCUUUGCCCGCUCGAGAGGCCGUGCGGGCGACGGCGCGGCCGGCGGCGACGGCGAGGGCGGCAGCGCUGACGAAAACCCUAGCCAUGUCUCGCGUCUCGCUCGUGUGGGAGGGAAGGGAUGGAGCUGGCUGUGGGAGGAACAGGUGAAAGUGGGGGGGGAUUCCGAGAGUGGGAGGGGCGUGCGUGUGUUGUGUGAUUGUGGUGGUGUUUGGUUUUCUAGUCACAGGACUUUUUUCCAGUCCUAGGACUUUUUGAAUAAGACGUUUAAGGAGGUGCUUUUAAGGAUUUUUAGUAAAAUGUUCUAAAAAAGUUCCCCUUGUUUGGUUUGCUAGAGACUUUUAGGGACUUUUUUUAGUCCCAACCUAAAAAAGUCCCUGAAACCAAACACCCCCUGUAUUUUUGGGGAUUGCUUAUGUUAAUUUUUUGGGGGAAUGUGUAUUUGUGAUUUGAUACCUUGGAUCUUAAAUGUCGGCGUCACUCCCUUCCCUAGACGACACGGGUGGCGGCGGCUCUGUCCUCCCUCCCCGCCCCUCUACCUCGCCUCUUCGCUCGCCGUCACUCAACCGGGUGAAACCCGGGCGGAGCUGAUGACAACGGGACUUGCUCCUCUUGUCUAGCCUCUGGCGGUGAGGGAAUCCCGCGGUAGCAACUGGUGGACCAUUCGGCGCCUCGAGGGGCGAUGUGUGCGGCGUGGGCGGUCUGCUAUUGCAGGUGCGGUGCGGGCAACGGCUAGUCCCCUUCCCUGGACUCGAGCAAGUAGAGGGGCGUAGGGCCCUGGACAAAAACAUUGUUCUCAAUGGGCUCGAUGGGUACUAGCGAUAAUGACACGUUGGUGCUCUCUCUUUUCGAGCAGUUGUUGAAGGGUUCCUCCUCUCCACUAGAACAAGGUUGGUCGGUUCUUAGACUUGUCAUGGUGGUUUAUAUCAUGGAUGACCUUUUCUCAAGGUUAGGCGAGGGGGUGGAGGUUUUCGGUGGCUCCAGGCAAAAAUGUUUAAGACUUUGACAAGGGAUGAUUUCAAUGGCAACGGUGCCCAUGGGUAUCGUUUCCUUCUUGAGGGCAUCUCCGGAGAACCCACAGGCUUCUCUUCAGGUUGAGGGCAUGUUGGCGGUGGAGGUCAUGCUUCGACAAUGUCGGCAUUGUUGUUCUAGUUUCCUUUUCCUCUCUUUGUGGUUUUUUUACAUGAUUGUCUCUUAAUAAAUCGUGUUUGCCUAAUUUUUGGCCUAAUUUUCCUUAUAAAUUGGGCUAUCUCUAUUCUUUAUGAAAUCGCAGGAGGACCCUUCCCUCAUGACAAGGUUUC
This is a long non-coding RNA of Triticum aestivum (bread wheat), 6899 nucleotides long. RefSeq lists it as uncharacterized. The record is from RefSeq and is a predicted model, not a curated record. The transcript has 4 exons. Lineage: Eukaryota; Viridiplantae; Streptophyta; Magnoliopsida; Poales; Poaceae.